RNAcentral lists this transfer RNA (75 nucleotides) under Bipes tridactylus. RNAcentral describes it as "tRNA-Leu". It matches the Rfam family "tRNA". From Rfam's summary of the family: Transfer RNA (tRNA) molecules are approximately 80 nucleotides in length. Their secondary structure includes four short double-helical elements and three loops (D, anti-codon, and T loops). The record is from RNAcentral. Lineage: Eukaryota; Metazoa; Chordata; Lepidosauria; Squamata; Bipedidae.
AUUAAGGUGGCAGAGCUUCAGCCAAUGCAAAAGGCCUAAGCCCUUUAAACAGGGGUUCAACUCCCCUCCUUAAUA